GAUGAACGCUGGCGGCGUGCCUAAUACAUGCAAGUCGAGCGAACAGACGAGGAGCUUGCUCCUCUGACGUUAGCGGCGGACGGGUGAGUAACACGUGGAUAACCUACCUAUAAGACUGGGAUAACUUCGGGACACCGGAGCUAAUACCGGAUAAUCUAUUGAACCGCAUGGUUCAAUAGUGAAAGACGGUUUUGGUGUCAGUUAUCGAUGGAUCCGCGCUGGUGUAGAUAGUUGUUAAGGUAACGGCUUUUCACGGCAACGAUGCGUAUGCGACCUGCGAGAGGGAUCGGCCACACUGGAACUUAGACACGGUCCAGACUCCUGCGGGAGGCAGCAGUAGGGAAUCUUCCGCAAUGGGCGAAAGCUUGACGCAGCAACGCCGCGUGAGUGAUGAAGGUCUUCGGAUCGUAAAACUCGGUUAUUAGGGAAGAACAAAUGUGUAAGUAACUAUGCACGUCUUGACGGUACCUAAUCAGAAAGCCACGGCUAACUACGUG
RNAcentral lists this ribosomal RNA (497 nucleotides) under uncultured bacterium. Its description in RNAcentral is "partial 16S ribosomal RNA". It matches the Rfam family "Bacterial small subunit ribosomal RNA", at positions 28 to 507 of the family's 1533-position model. The record is from RNAcentral.